UUGGAGGGCAAGUCUGGUGCCAGCAGCCGCGGUAAUUCCAGCUCCAAUAGCGUAUAUUAAAGUUGUUGCAGUUAAAAAGCUCGUAGUUGAAUUUCGGGGUCAGUAGGUUGGUCGUGCCACUGGUAUGUACUGGUCUCACUGAUUCCUCCUUCCUGAUGAGCCGUAAUGCCAUUAAUUUGGUGUUGCGAGGAAUCUGGACUGUUACUUUGAAAAAAUUAGAGUGUUUAAAGCAAGCUAACGCUUGAAUACAUUAGCAUGGAAUAAUGAAAUAGGACGUUCGAUCCUAUUUUGUUGGUUUCUAGGAUUGACGUAAUGAUUAAUAGGGAUAGUUGGGGGCAUUAGUAUUCGAUUGUCAGAGGUGAAAUUCUUGGAUUUAUUGAAGACUAACUACUGCGAAAGCAUUUGCCAAGGAUGUUUUCAUUAAUCAAGAACGAAAGUUAGGGGAUCGAAGACGAUCAGAUACCGUCGUAGUCUUAACCAUAAACUAUGCCGACUAGGGAUCGGAUGAUGUUAAUUUUUUAAUGACACAUUCGGCGCCUUACGGGAAACCAAAGUGUUUGGGUUC
This 565-nucleotide ribosomal RNA is filed under the name uncultured Glomeromycotina. Its description in RNAcentral is "SSU rRNA". It matches the Rfam family "Eukaryotic small subunit ribosomal RNA", at positions 548 to 1114 of the family's 1831-position model. Lineage: Eukaryota; Fungi; Glomeromycota. The record is from RNAcentral.